RNAcentral lists this ribosomal RNA (497 nucleotides) under uncultured bacterium. RNAcentral's name for it is "partial 16S ribosomal RNA". It matches the Rfam family "Bacterial small subunit ribosomal RNA", at positions 28 to 507 of the family's 1533-position model. The record is from RNAcentral.
GAUGAACGCUGGCGGCGUGCCUAAUACAUGCAAGUCGAGCGAACAGACGAGGAGCUUGCCCCUCUGACGUUAGCGGCGGACGGGUUAGUAACACGUGGAUAACCUACCUAUAAGACUGGGAUAACUUCGGGAAACCGGAGCUAAUACCGGAUAAUAUAUUGAACCGCAUGGUUUAAUAGUGAAAGACGGUUUUGCUGUCACUUAUAUAUGGAUCCGCGCCGCAUUAGCUAGUUGGUAAGGUAACGGCUUACCAAGGCAACAAUGAGUAGCCGACCUGAGAGGGUGAGCGGCCCCACUGGAACUGAGAAACGGUCCAGACUCCUACGGGAGGCAGGAGUAGGGAAUCUUCCGCAAUGGGCGAAAGCCUGACGGAGCAACGCCGCGUGAGUGAUGAAGGUCUUCGGAUCGUAAAACUCUGUUAUUAGGGAAGAACAAAUGUGUAAGUAACUAUGCACGUCUUGACGGUACCUAAUCAGAAAGCCACGGCUAACUAAGUG